This 60-nucleotide microRNA precursor is filed under the name Tupaia belangeri chinensis (Chinese tree shrew). RNAcentral's name for it is "Tupaia chinensis (Chinese tree shrew) microRNA tch-mir-26a precursor (tch-mir-26a-2)". Its record names the gene tch-mir-26a-2. It matches the Rfam family "mir-26 microRNA precursor family", at positions 9 to 69 of the family's 81-position model. From Rfam's summary of the family: The hairpin precursors (represented here) are predicted based on base pairing and cross-species conservation -- their extents are not known. The record is from miRBase by way of RNAcentral. Lineage: Eukaryota; Metazoa; Chordata; Mammalia; Scandentia; Tupaiidae.
UUCAAGUAACCCAGGAUAGGCUGUGCAGGUCCCGAGGGCCUAUUCUUGGUUACUUGCACA